GGUGUUACGGGGCAUGCUGACAGUGUAGUUUUAAUUUACGUGGCAUUAGAAACGUUUGUCAAUUGUAUUUUUAUAAUUUUUUAAUAAAAAAAUUAAAUGUACAAAGUGCAAGUAUAAUUUAAGUAAGGGCAAAGUUGGGAAAUCAAAUUAAAUUAAGUGUUGAAAGCCCUUUUCUCCUCUGCAAUUGCAAAAUCGAAAUCAGAUUGGGGGAAGGUGAGUUUUAGGGUUCGUGUGAUAGCUCCACCAUCGAGCUAUGAUUCAGAUUCGUGAGAUGAACCAAGCAGAGAAAUCAGAAACAGCAACAACGAAGCGAAUGGAUAAUGGAAAGGCAACGAAUGCAAGUGUAAAGGAAUUGGUGGAAUGGUUGAAGUGUUGAUGAUGACACAGAUCUAGCUCAGAAGGCCUUCACCAAUGGAAGGAAGCUAGAGGAAAAGUUGGAGGAAGCACAAGAAGAAGUGACUCUCGGUGAUGAAAGAGCUGGAAGCAAUGUGCUCAGCAUUUCAAUUCUCUCAUUAAUCCAAAAGUGUUUGACAAGGGAAGCUGCCAUGAAUUUAUAGACUAUUCAUGGAGCUGCAGCGUGAGAAUGAUGAACCAGAAAACGUGGAUCAGCUACCACGUGUUAACAUAUGUGUAAACGAUGAAGGCCUUCUAGAAAGGCUUAUUCAAAAUGUGCUGAAAAGAAAAAAAACACGUGGUCUGGUGCUGACUAAAGAAGAUCUUGUCGUGGUGUAUACUUAGCAAAGGGUGGUGGUGUAGCUAGCAACUUUGACAGUCAUAUGGACGGGUUUGCCCCUUCUCUUGGUGUCUCCAAAUUCCACUUAAAAUGAAGGAAGAGAACUUGCCCUCUUGUGUCCAUAUCUUCAAGCUCUUCUUGGAUUCUUCUAGCCAUACUUCUAGUAAUGGGUCCAUGACCUAAGUCAUCAUCUCCUCCCCCUUGAAGAGGAUUUGACCUCAAAUCCAAAUCAUCAUCUGUGUGAAAUCCUGCAAAAGGACGAAAAUCAGUAACAUUAAAAGUAGAAUGGACACCAUAAUCUGAUGGAAGGUCUAAUUGGUAAGCAUUGUUAUUGACCUUCUUAAGGAUCUUAAAAG
Molecule: long non-coding RNA, 1089 nt
Filed under: Vigna radiata
Lineage: Eukaryota; Viridiplantae; Streptophyta; Magnoliopsida; Fabales; Fabaceae
Description: long non-coding RNA (VRAD_LNC002112)
Source: RNAcentral